AUGCUGCUGGAGGACUUCGGGCAGCGGGUGGACCUGACGCGCCGCAUCCGCGAGGUGCUGGCCAACUACCCGGAGGGCACCACCGCGCUGCGGGAGCUCAUCCAGAACACCGACGAGGCCAGGGCCUCGCGGGUCCGCCUCUGCCUCGACCGCCGCGCCCAUGGGGCCCGCUCGCUACAUGCCCCGGCCCUCGCGCAUUGGCAGGGCCCUGCCCUGCUCGCCCACAAUGACGCCGCCUUCACCGACGACGACUUUGCCAGCAUCUCCCACAUCGGCAACAGCAAGAAGGCCUCCCAGGCCUAG
This 303-nucleotide ribosomal RNA is filed under the name Triticum aestivum (bread wheat). RNAcentral describes it as "partial small subunit ribosomal RNA". Lineage: Eukaryota; Viridiplantae; Streptophyta; Magnoliopsida; Poales; Poaceae. The record is from RNAcentral.